UAAGUAAGCUUUGAUCCAGAGAUUUCCGAAUGGGGAAACCCAGCAUGAGUUAUGUCAUGUUAUCGAUAUGUGAAUACAUAGCAUAUCAGAAGGCACACCCGGAGAACUGAAACAUCUUAGUACCCGGAGGAAGAGAAAGAAAAUUCGAUUCCCUUAGUAGCGGCGAGCGAAACGGGAAGAGCCCAAACCAACAAGCUUGCUUGUUGGGGUUGUAGGACACUCUAUACGGAGUUACAAAGGACGACAUUAGACGAAUCAUCUGGAAAGAUGAAUCAAAGAAGGUAAUAAUCCUGUAGUCGAAAAUGUUGUCUCUCUUGAGUGGAUCCUGAGUACGACGGAGCACGUGAAAUUCCGUCGGAAUCUGGGAGGACCAUCUCCUAAGGCUAAAUACUCUCUAGUGACCGAUAGUGAACCAGUACCGUGAGGGAAAGGUGAAAAGCACCCCGGAAGGGGAGUGAAAUAGAACCUGAAACCGUGUGCUUACAAGUAGUCAGAGCCCGUUAAUGGGUGAUGGCGUGCCUUUUGUAGAAUGAACCGGCGAGUUACGAUUUGAUGCAAGGUUAAGCAGUAAAUGUGGAGCCGUAGCGAAAGCG
RNAcentral lists this ribosomal RNA (593 nucleotides) under Staphylococcus aureus. RNAcentral describes it as "partial 23S ribosomal RNA". It matches the Rfam family "Bacterial large subunit ribosomal RNA", at positions 89 to 679 of the family's 2925-position model. Lineage: Bacteria; Bacillati; Bacillota; Bacilli; Caryophanales; Staphylococcaceae. The record is from RNAcentral.